This 402-nucleotide ribosomal RNA is filed under the name uncultured bacterium. RNAcentral's name for it is "bacterial SSU rRNA". It matches the Rfam family "Bacterial small subunit ribosomal RNA", at positions 975 to 1375 of the family's 1533-position model. The record is from RNAcentral.
CUGGGCUUAACAUCCCGAUCGCACCUUAUAGAAAUAUAGGGGUCAGUUCGGCUGGAUCGGAGACAGGUGCUGCAUGGCUGUCGUCAGCUCGUGUCGUGAGAUGUUGGGUUAAGUCCCGCAACGAGCGCAACCCUUGUCCUUAGUUGCCAUCAUUCAGUUGGGCACUCUAAGGAGACUGCCGGUGUUAAACCGGAGGAAGGUGGGGAUGACGUCAAGUCCUCAUGGCCCUUAUGUCCAGGGCUACACGCGUGCUACAAUGGCCGGUACAAAGGGCAGCAAAGCCGCGAGGUGGAGCAAAUCCCAAAAAGCCGGUCUCAGUUCGGAUUGGAGUCUGCAACUCGACUCCAUGAAGUUGGAAUCGCUAGUAAUCGCGGAUCAGCAUGCCGCGGUGAAUACGUUCCC